Molecule: ribosomal RNA, 253 nt
Filed under: uncultured bacterium
Lineage: Bacteria
Description: partial 16S ribosomal RNA
Rfam family: Bacterial small subunit ribosomal RNA
Source: RNAcentral
UACGGGGGGGGCAAGCGUUGUUCGGAAUUACUGGGCGUAAAGCGCGUGUAGGCGGGCCGGAAAGUCGGGCGUGAAAUCCCUGGGCUCAACCCAGGAACUGCACUCGAAACUUCCGGUCUAGAGUGGUGGAGAGGGAAGUGGAAUUCCUGGUGUAGAGGUGAAAUUCGUAGAUAUCAGGAGGAACACCAGUGGCGAAGGCGGCUUCCUGGACACCAACUGACGCUGAGACGCGAAAGCGUGGGGAGCAAACAGG